RNAcentral lists this unclassified non-coding RNA (320 nucleotides) under plant metagenome. Its description in RNAcentral is "partial contains 5.8S ribosomal RNA, internal transcribed spacer 2, and large subunit ribosomal RNA". The stretch from base 1 to 105 matches the Rfam family "5.8S ribosomal RNA", at positions 50 to 154 of the family's 154-position model. The record is from RNAcentral.
GAAAUGCGAUAAGUAAUGUGAAUUGCAGAAUUCAGUGAAUCAUCGAAUCUUUGAACGCACAUUGCGCUCGCCAGUAUUCUGGCGGGCAUGCCUGUUCGAGCGUCAUUACAACCCUCAGGCCCCCGGGCCUGGCGUUGGGGAUCGGCGGAAGCCCCCUGCGGGCACAACGCCGUCCCCCAAAUACAGUGGCGGUCCCGCCGCAGCUUCCAUUGCGUAGUAGCUAACACCUCGCAACUGGAGAGCGGCGCGGCCACGCCGUAAAACACCCAACUUCUGAAUGUUGACCUCGAAUCAGGUAGGAAUACCCGCUGAACUUAAGC